Molecule: long non-coding RNA, 333 nt
Organism: Cyprinus carpio (common carp)
Lineage: Eukaryota; Metazoa; Chordata; Actinopteri; Cypriniformes; Cyprinidae
Source: Ensembl
GUUCCAAUGGGGUCGCUGUGUCCAUUUCUUUUACUGUCUAUGCAGAGAACGAGCGAGGUUGUGUCGUGACGAGCAACAGGUCGUGUAUUGGAAAGAUUUGGUGUUGAUGGAGGAGGCAACAUCUUCAAGACGAAACCUUAGACCUGAUGCAACAUCAUCCAAUGUCACAAUCACCCUUUAGGAGGCACUUGAAGACCAGUGCCCAAUAUGCAUAGGAACAUUUCCAGUGUCAGAAGUAGACCUGCCAUGCCAGCUUUUGUGGAGACAAGUAAUGGUAAUAGUGACUCACAUUGAAGCUUAAAAACACCUUUAAAAAAAAAAAAAACCUUAAAA